Molecule: microRNA precursor, 207 nt
Filed under: Medicago truncatula (barrel medic)
Lineage: Eukaryota; Viridiplantae; Streptophyta; Magnoliopsida; Fabales; Fabaceae
Description: MIR2670 microRNA precursor family
Rfam family: MIR2670 microRNA precursor family
Source: Rfam by way of RNAcentral
UUUGGGGGAAGUAGUGGUCUGUCGGGUUGGGGAAAAAGGCAUAUUCCCUUGAGGUAAAAUUAGGUUUGCUUCCUUUUACUCCCAAAAUCUUUUUACCAUGGGUAAAAAGAAUCAUCAUGGGGGUAUAAAAAGGAACCAAAUUUAAAUUUACCUCAAGGGAUCUUGAUGUCUUUUUCCCCAACAAGACAGAUCACUAUUUUCCCCAAG